GGGACGAAAGCUAGGGGCACGAACCGGAUUAGAUACCCGGGUAGUCCUAGCCGUAAACGAUACUCGCUAGGUGUCGGCCACGGUGCGACCGUUGUCGGUGCCGUAGGGAAGCCGUGAAGCGAGCCACCUGGGAAGUACGGCCGCAAGGCUGAAACUUAAAGGAAUUGGCGGGGGAGCACCACAACGGGUGGAGCUUGCGGUUUAAUUGGAUUCAACGCCGGAAAUCUUACCGGGACCGACAGCAAUAUGAAGGUCAGGCUGAAGACUUUGCCGGAUUAGCUGAGAGGUGGUGCAUGGCCGUCGUCAGUUCGUACUGUGAAGCAUCCUGUUAAGUCAGGCAACGAGCGAGACCCACGCCCACAGUUGCCAGCGUACUCUCUGGAGUGACGGGUACACUGUGGGGACCGCCGCUGCUAAAGCGGAGGAAGGAAUGGGCAACGGUAGGUCAGUAUGCCCCGAAUAUCCCGGGCUACACGCGAGCUACAAUGGUUGGUACAAUGGGUAUCUACCCCGAAAGGGGACGGGAAUCUCCUAAAACCAAUCUUAGUUCGGAUUGAGGGCUGCAACUCGCCCUCAUGAAGCUGGAAUCCGUAGUAAUCGCGUUUCAACAGAACGCGGUGAAUACGUCCCUGCUCCUUGCACACGCCGCCCGUCAAACCACCCGAGUAGGGUCUGAAUGAGAGCGCUUUCUUUGGAGGCGUUCGAAUUUGGGCUCUGCAAGGGGGGUU
RNAcentral lists this ribosomal RNA (728 nucleotides) under archaeon enrichment culture clone A1492D20. RNAcentral describes it as "bacterial SSU rRNA". It matches the Rfam family "Archaeal small subunit ribosomal RNA", at positions 701 to 1429 of the family's 1478-position model. The record is from RNAcentral.